CCCUACGGGGCGCAGCAGGCGCGAAAACUUUACAAUGCGGGAAACCGUGAUAAGGGAAUUCCGAGUGCCCGUAAAAUCGGGCUGUCCAUCUGUUUAAAUAACAGGUGAAGAAAGGGCCGGGCAAGACCGGUGCCAGCCGCCGCGGUAAUACCGGCGGCUCGAGUGGUGGCCACUAUUACUGGGCUUAAAGCGUUCGUAGCUGGUCUGUUAAGUCUCUGGGGAAAUCUACUGGCUUAACCAAUAGGCGUUUCAGGGAUACUACAUUGCUUGGGACUGGGAGAGGUAAGAGGUACUCAGGGGGUAGGAGUGAAAUCCUGUAAUCC
RNAcentral lists this ribosomal RNA (323 nucleotides) under uncultured archaeon. Its description in RNAcentral is "bacterial SSU rRNA". It matches the Rfam family "Archaeal small subunit ribosomal RNA", at positions 321 to 648 of the family's 1478-position model. The record is from RNAcentral.